UUUGUUAUGGUGCCAUCUAUAAAAGCGUUCUUUUGUUUUUAAGAAGAGUCGUGAUGAACGUUCUAAGAGUUUCCAAUCCUAUGCAACAAUUUCAAACAAUAUGGCGAGAAGCGUCAUUUUUAUCACUUCUUAUUUUUUGCAUUCCAGCUUAGGAAAUCAGCUAUUGAAGCUACUGUAAUGCGGCACUGGGAGAGAAUGUUAUAUUUUACAGAACAUGCAAAAAGUGAUAUCAAAGAUUUAAAACCGGAAAUUUUAAUUUAAAAGAUGAUGAUCAUGCAUCGGAAAAGUUUAAUGACGGAGAGGAAUUGCUUAACGAAAAUCCGACCCAGACGCAAAAAGAUUGGAAAUUACCAGACAAGCAGUAUUCAACUGAAAUAAUUAGGUGAGAUUCAAAAGUUUGACGAUGAAGGAGGCCCACAUGAAUUAAGCGAAAUAAAUAAACAUGAAUUAAGCGAAAUAAAUAAGAAAAACAGAUUUCUGCUGCUUUUCAUAGCAUAAAAGGAAAAGUUUUCUGCACAAAAUUGUUAUUGGCGAUGAAAAAUGGGUUUUAUAUGACAAUCACAAACAACGGAAAUUAUGGGUUAAUUCCGGGUAACCAACGAUUUCAGUGGCUUGUAAAAUCGAAGCAAAACCGAACUUGCAUUGUAAAAAAGUUUAUAUGGUAUUUAUAUGGAAAGACAAUAACUGCCGAAUAUUAUCAAAAUCAAUUAAUGAAUUUAUAUGACCAGCUAGAACAAAAACGGUUAUUUAUCAGACCAGGAACAAGAUAUGUGAUUUUGCAGCACGACAAUGUACAUGGAAAAAAAACAUAGGACACAAUUUAUGCAUUGGGAUGGGAAGUCCUGCCAAAUGCGGCAUACUUUCUCUGGCCUUGUCAGACUGUUAUCUUUUUCGAAGUCUGUAACAUUAAUUGUCUGGGAAGCCUUUAACUUGGAAUAAAAUAUCUGAAAAUUUAUUGAUGACUUCAUAACCAGCAAAUAGCUGUCAUUUUUCAGGGAUGGACUUUAUAAUUUACCCACCAGGUGGGAAAAGAUUAUAGAGAAUGAGAGUGAAUACUUUGAGAUAUAAUCUUAUAUCUGAUUUAUAUAAUAAAAUCUUGAAUUUGGAAAAAAA
Long non-coding RNA from Apis laboriosa (Himalayan honeybee), 1113 nucleotides. RefSeq lists it as uncharacterized. The transcript is spliced from 2 exons. Lineage: Eukaryota; Metazoa; Arthropoda; Insecta; Hymenoptera; Apidae. The record is from RefSeq and is a predicted model, not a curated record.